This 28-nucleotide ribosomal RNA is filed under the name ascomycete sp. 15652-sp5. RNAcentral describes it as "partial 28S ribosomal RNA". The record is from RNAcentral. RNAcentral also lists the same sequence under 1 other name. Lineage: Eukaryota; Fungi; Ascomycota.
GAGCGGGGGGGUUGUCCGUAGCAACACA